GGAUUUACUUUUAGAUAUUGUUAAUAUUUUGGAAAUAAUCGUGUUUUUAAAAUGUUGGAUGAUGUUGAAAAAAUUUCAAAAAUUAUUCGAUUUAAUAUCAUAUGUGGCAAUUACAUUUACAUCUAAUUCACAAGAAUAAAAUAUCUCAAUCAACGUACAAUGUAUACAAUAACACUGAAUAUAAAUUUAAUAUCUCCAAUGAAUACGAAAAGUGUUCAAUAUUUAUAUGAACCAGUACUCAUAUAGAAAUGUGUUUCAUGUUUUUUUCUACAUACAUACACAAUGUAAUAAUUUCAAGCUUAUAUAAUGCAAAACGGCGCACGUGAUUCUAUAUAUACAUACAUAUGUACAAUCUCAACUUCAGUGGAAAUUUUCAGCGUGUAAUGCACAUGAAUUAAUUUGUUGUCUCUGUGUGAAAAAAAAACAUGAUAAACUAACUUGUGAAUGACCUCAUUCAAUGGACUCUCCUCGAUGAAAGUUUCGAAUCAAUCAACAGAUAUUCGAUUAGUAUAAGGUUAAUGUAUGUGAUUUAAAUGUGGAAUAUCUUAUCACAGAUUUUUAUUGCUUAGAAAUUAUGAUAUAUUUAUUAUAACUAAGAGAAAGAAAUUAUGCAAAUAUAUUUUAUUUUUGUGAAAAAAAAUCAUCUUUUAAAUAAAUUGAAUAUUUACUAAACAUUUUGUAAUUAUAUCACAAAAAUUUAUAAAAUCGUAAAAAGAAAAAAUUUAUUAAUUCAAUAAAUAAAAAGAAAAAUAAUGACAAU
Apis dorsata (giant honeybee) is the source of this 760-nucleotide long non-coding RNA. RefSeq lists it as uncharacterized. The record is from RefSeq and is a predicted model, not a curated record. The transcript is spliced from 2 exons. Lineage: Eukaryota; Metazoa; Arthropoda; Insecta; Hymenoptera; Apidae.